CCUACGGGGCGCUGCAGUGGGGAAUAUUGGACAAUGGGGGGAACCCUGAUCCAGCCAUGCCGCGUGUGUGAAGAAGGCCCUCGGGUUGUAAAGCACUUUCAGUGAGGAAGAACGCCUGGUGGUUAAUACCCAUCAGGAAAGACAUCACUCACAGAAGAAGCACCGGCUAACUCCGUGCCAGCAGCCGCGGUAAUACGGAGGGUGCGAGCGUUAAUCGGAAUUACUGGGCGUAAAGCGCGCGUAGGUGGCUUGAUAAGCCGGUUGUGAAAGCCCCGGGCUCAACCUGGGAACGGCAUCCGGAACUGUCAAGCUAGAGUGCAGGAGAGGAAGGUAGAAUUCCCGGUGUAGCGGUGAAAUGCGUAGAGAUCGGGAGGAAUACCAGUGGCGAAGGCGGCCUUCUGGACUGACACUGACACUGAGGUGCGAAAGCGUGGGUAGCAAACAGGAUUAGAUACCCCUGUAGUC
This 465-nucleotide ribosomal RNA is filed under the name Vreelandella stevensii. RNAcentral describes it as "partial 16S ribosomal RNA". It matches the Rfam family "Bacterial small subunit ribosomal RNA", at positions 338 to 795 of the family's 1533-position model. The record is from RNAcentral. Lineage: Bacteria; Pseudomonadati; Pseudomonadota; Gammaproteobacteria; Oceanospirillales; Halomonadaceae.